UUGACCUCGGAUCAGGCAGGGAUACCCGCUGAACUUAAGCAUAUCAAUAAGCGGAGGAAAAGAAACCAACAGGGAUUGCCUCAGUAACGGCGAGUGAAGCGGCAACAGCUCAAAUUUGAAAUCUGGCUCUUUUAGGGUCCGAGUUGUAAUUUGUAGAGGAUGCUUCGGCGUCGGCUCCGGUCUAAGUUCCUUGGAACAGGACGUCAUAGAGGGUGAGAAUCCCGUAUGUGAUCGGUUGCCCUUGCCAUGUGAAGCUCCUUCGACGAGUCGAGUUGUUUGGGAAUGCAGCUCUAAAUGGGAGGUAAAUUUCUUCUAAAGCUAAAUACUGGCCAGAGACCGAUAGCGCACAAGUAGAGCGAUCGAAAGAUGAAANGCACUUUGGAAAGAGAGUC
RNAcentral lists this ribosomal RNA (392 nucleotides) under uncultured Cenococcum. Its description in RNAcentral is "eukaryotic LSU rRNA". It matches the Rfam family "Eukaryotic large subunit ribosomal RNA", at positions 1 to 389 of the family's 3401-position model. The record is from RNAcentral. Lineage: Eukaryota; Fungi; Ascomycota; Dothideomycetes; Gloniales; Gloniaceae.